UGGAUCCAGACUUUGAUCCUGGCUCAGGAUGAACGCUAGCUACAGGCUUAACACAUGCAAGUCGAGGGGAAACGACAUCGAAAGCUUGCUUUUGAUGGGCGUCGACCGGCGCACGGGUGAGUAACGCGUAUCCAACCUGCCCAUCACUUGGGGAUAACCUUGCGAAAGUAAGACUAAUACCCAAUGACGUCUCUAGAAGACAUCUGAAAGAGAUUAAAGAUUUAUCGGUGAUGGAUGGGGAUGCGUCUGAUUAGCUUGUUGGCGGGGUAACGGCCCACCAAGGCAACGAUCAGUAGGGGUUCUGAGAGGAAGGUCCCCCACAUUGGAACUGAGACACGGUCCAAACUCCUACGGGAGGCAGCAGUGAGGAAUAUUGGUCAAUGGGCGAGAGCCUGAACCAGCCAAGUAGCGUGCAGGAUGACGGCCCUAUGGGUUGUAAACUGCUUUUAUAAGGGAAUAAAGUGAGUCUCGUGAGACUUUUUGCAUGUACCUUAUGAAUAAGGACCGGCUAAUUCCGUGCCAGCAGCCGCGGUAAUACGGAAGGUCCGGGCGUUAUCCGGAUUUAUUGGGUUUAAAGGGAGCGUAGGCCGGAGAUUAAGCGUGUUGUGAAAUGUAGACGCUCAACGUCUGCACUGCAGCGCGAACUGGUUUCCUUGAGUACGCACAAAGUGGGCGGAAUUCGUGGUGUAGCGGUGAAAUGCUUAGAUAUCACGAAGAACUCCGAUUGCGAAGGCAGCUCACUGGAGCGCAACUGACGCUGAAGCUCGAAAGUGCGGGUAUCGAACAGGAUUAGAUACCCUGGUAGUCCGCACGGUAAACGAUGGAUGCCCGCUGUUGGUCUGAAUAGGUCAGCGGCCAAGCGAAAGCAUUAAGCAUCCCACCUGGGGAGUACGCCGGCAACGGUGCAACUCAAAUGAAUUGACGGA
This 926-nucleotide ribosomal RNA is filed under the name uncultured Bacteroidota bacterium. Its description in RNAcentral is "bacterial SSU rRNA". It matches the Rfam family "Bacterial small subunit ribosomal RNA", at positions 1 to 917 of the family's 1533-position model. Lineage: Bacteria; Pseudomonadati; Bacteroidota. The record is from RNAcentral.